Molecule: long non-coding RNA, 287 nt
Filed under: Nicotiana benthamiana
Lineage: Eukaryota; Viridiplantae; Streptophyta; Magnoliopsida; Solanales; Solanaceae
Description: long non-coding RNA (NBEN_LNC021089)
Source: RNAcentral
GAUAGACAACUUUGUGUUGUUCAUAGAGCUUAUUGUGUAUCUCUUUAUUCACUCUAUUGAGAAAGUAUUUGUUGUAAAAGAGAGUUGUUUGAGAAGAACAUGUCUUCUCAUUUGUCGGGUUUGCUGAGUACCCAAAGUCUUAGUGGUUGAAGUCUUGGGGUGAGGUAUCCUCAAGCAAGUGAAGUCUUAAGGUGUGGUAUCCUUGAGCAACUGUAACGAUUUGUUAAGCACCCGUAAGCUUGACGAAGAUAGUGGAAAUCUCGAGAGAGUCUCUCGGGGACUGGACU